This 1786-nucleotide unclassified non-coding RNA is filed under the name Leishmania donovani. RNAcentral's name for it is "gene:LdHU3.18.0410(CDS-product:DnaJ_domain_contai ning_protein_putative)". Lineage: Eukaryota; Euglenozoa; Kinetoplastea; Trypanosomatida; Trypanosomatidae. The record is from RNAcentral.
UCCGGUCCCACCCCCUUUUUUGUUAUAUUCUCUCCGUCACCCCCGCACAAACCCACGGUGAGUGACACGCGCAUCCAUAUACACGAACGCGUGGGAGCCUGCCUGCGCCAAGCACCUACACACGCCACUCGCGCUGAAGCAUCUGACGACGCGGCGCGGUGCUUGCUGCUGUAGACAUCGCUGGUGAUUGCAAUUGGAAAAGCUGAACCGGGUCGCUGCUGUCUCCACUUCACGUGCCAGGCUAACGGAGUGCACACGGGUAAGCGAGCGGUUUGCUAUCACAGCACUGCUACACCCAUUGACAUAGGGAGUUAUAGGCACAAGCGAGAACAAGCUGAGUAAUAAACAGUGUGCUGACGGACUAGGGGAUGCGUGUGAGUGGAGUCGCACGGACCGGUCUUCGCCAUGUCACCUGCUCGGUGGCCGGCCACGCUCUUGCAUUCGGCGCCACAGCCGCUGUUGCGGCGUCUACCGCCCCGCUCCUGACGCAGGCCCGCUAUGCGAGCAGCAAGAACCCGUACACGGUGCUCGGCAUCAAGCAAGGUGCUGACAAGGCAGAAAUCAAGAAGGCGUACCGUGUCCUGGCCCGCAAGCACCACCCUGAUGCCCCGGGCGGCAGCGACGAAAGAUUCCGUGAAGUGCAGGAGGCGUAUGAGCAAAUAAAAAGUGGGGUGUGGGUCCGAAAAGACCAGGAGGGCAGCGGCAGCGACGGCGCUGGCGGCAACGCGAACCGCUACAGCGGCUUCCGCUACACGACCCGCACGCACCACAAGAGCAAGGUCAGCUACGACCAAUUUUACGAGGAGAUGCACACGGGCCGGGUGAAGAAGGAUCCGUUUGCGGACGACGACGAGGCAGAGGAUCCGGCGGCGAAGGACCCGCGCCGAAACCCUUUCGCAAUGAACGAGAUCGCUUUCCAGGCGUGGCUGCGCUUUAUCAUUAUGUGGUGUGUCGUCUUCUGUAGUCUUCGCCUUGUGCUUUUUUUGAUGUUCCCACCCAAGUGGGAGAAGCCACAGCGCAAGCCACCACCGCGCGAGCUGCGUGGCCGCAAGCCGCCACCGCCGAAGCCACUAAGACUCUCCGAGGAUGCGAUUGUAGCGUAGUUAUGGCUGGGCUAUCCGUAGGGGGGGGGCUUGUGGCUGUUUGUUUUGGAGCUGCUGCGGUACAGGCAGCGUUUCCAUGUGCGUGUGUGCGUGUGACUGCGUGAGAGCGGCGCUCUAACCCGUACGCACGAAGCGAUAGGUGAACGAAUCCGCCACCUGGAGCUGGCGCCUCUGUCUCCGACCUGCGAUUGGGCCUCAUGUGCCAAGGGCGGCACUCGGUAUGUGUUGCGUACGCCGCGCAGGUGCGUUCUAGUACACGCCACACUUUCCCCGGAACUCUCGUGCCUUUUUGUGGCGAAACAGUGAGCACGACGCUGUGCGCGCUCGGGUGUGCGCCAUCGCUUCUCUCUCGCUCCCGCGUCGCCGCUCUCGGGCAUUCUUGUUUUCGACCCUUUUUUCACCUUGACUCUUGCUGUCAUUGCUGAUGCGGUAGGCCGUGAAUGUGCGUUUGUGUGCACGGGCUUGCUCCGGUGGUUUUCUUGUUCUCAUCGGCCGUUCUACUCACAUCAACGCUAUCUUUUGGCGUUACUCUUGGUCGUGAUGUCGCGUUGUCCUACGGUGCCUGUGUUAGUGUCUCUCUCUGUGCGUGUGGAUGGAUGGAUGGAUGGAUGUCUCCUCUCACAUGUACACACAACGCUGUCCACUUGUCUAUCUUGUGUUAUUAACGCUUUUAUGCACGCACU